This 132-nucleotide small nucleolar RNA is filed under the name Castor canadensis (American beaver). RNAcentral's name for it is "Small nucleolar RNA SNORA1 (ENSCCNG00000012607.1)". It matches the Rfam family "Small nucleolar RNA SNORA1". From Rfam's summary of the family: ACA1 is a member of the H/ACA class of snoRNA that guide the sites of modification of uridines to pseudouridines. Lineage: Eukaryota; Metazoa; Chordata; Mammalia; Rodentia; Castoridae. The record is from Rfam by way of RNAcentral.
AGCCUCAUUCAAAAUGAGAAGUGACACUGUUGAUUUGUGCCCAAAAUUAGCCAAUGCGGCUAAAUUGGGACACUGAUUAUGAUUCCAUAAUAGCAAUGCAUUGCAGUGGUGGCAAUGAGAACUGUAACAUUU